CCUACGGGUGACAGCAGUGGGGAAUAUUGCACAAUGGGGGAAACCCUGAUGCAGCGAAGCCGCGUGAGUGAAGAAGGAAUUAGUUAUGUAAAGCUCUAUCAGCAGGGAAGAAAAUGCCGGUACCUGAGUAAGAAGCCCCGGCUAACUACGUGCCAGAAGCCGCGGUAAUACGUAGGGGGCAAGCGUGAUUCGGAAUUAGUGGGGUUAAAGGGAGCGUAGACGGCAGUGUAGGUCUGGAGGUAAAGGCGUGGGCUCCACCCCCGGCCUGCCCUGGAAACGGGAAGGCUGGAGGGGACGAGAGGUAAGCGGAAUUCGCGGUGUAGCGGUGAAAUGCGUAGAUAUCACGAGGAACACCAGUUGCGAAGGCGGCUUACCGGA
RNAcentral lists this ribosomal RNA (378 nucleotides) under uncultured bacterium. RNAcentral describes it as "partial 16S ribosomal RNA". It matches the Rfam family "Bacterial small subunit ribosomal RNA", at positions 338 to 733 of the family's 1533-position model. The record is from RNAcentral.